GACGAACGCUGGCGGCGUGCCUAAUACAUGCAAGUAGAACGCACAGUUUAUACCGUAGCUUGCUACACCAUAGACUGUGAGUUGCGAACGGGUGAGUAACGCGUAGGUAACCUGCCUGGUAGCGGGGGAUAACUAUUGGAAACGAUAGCUAAUACCGCAUAAUAUUGAUUAUUGCAUGAUAAUUAAUUGAAAGGUGCAAUUGCACCACUACCAGAUGGACCUGCGUUGUAUUAGCUAGUAGGUGAGGUAACGGCUCACCUAGGCGACGAUACAUAGCCGACCUGAGAGGGUGAUCGGCCACACUGGGACCGAGACACGGCCCAGACUCCUACGGGAGGCAGCAGUAGGGAAUCUUCGGCAAUGGACGAAAGUCUGACCGAGCAACGCCGCGUGAGUGAAGAAGGUUUUCGGAUCGUAAAGCUCUGUUGUAAGAGAAGAACGGGUGUGAGAGUGGAAAGUUCACACUGUGACGGUAUCUUACCAGAAAGGGACGGCUAACUACGUG
This 505-nucleotide ribosomal RNA is filed under the name uncultured bacterium. Its description in RNAcentral is "partial 16S ribosomal RNA". It matches the Rfam family "Bacterial small subunit ribosomal RNA", at positions 28 to 507 of the family's 1533-position model. The record is from RNAcentral.